ACGGAAGGCAGCAGUAGGGAAUAUUGGUCAAUGGGGGAAACCCUGAACCAGCGACGCCGCGUGAGUGAAGAAGUAUUUCGGUAUGUAAAGCUCUAUCAGCAGGGACGAUAAUGACGGUACCUGACUAAGAAGCCCCGGCUAACUACGUGCCAGCAGCCGCGGUACUACGUAGGGGGCAAGCGUUAUCCGGAUUUACUGGGUGUAAAGGGAGCGUAGGUGGCCAUGCAAGUCAGAUGUGAAAUCCCGGGGCGCAACCCCGGAGCUGCAUUUGAAACUGCGUAGCUAGAGUGCAGGAGAGGUAAGCGGAAUUCCUAGUGUAGCGGUGAAAUGCGUAGAUAUUAGGAGGAACACCAGUGGCGAAAGCGGCUUGCUGGACUGCAACUGACACUGAGGCUCGAAAGCGUGGGGAGCAAACAGGAUUAGAUACCCUGGUA
Molecule: ribosomal RNA, 434 nt
Filed under: uncultured Lachnospiraceae bacterium
Lineage: Bacteria; Bacillati; Bacillota; Clostridia; Lachnospirales; Lachnospiraceae
Description: partial 16S ribosomal RNA
Rfam family: Bacterial small subunit ribosomal RNA
Source: RNAcentral